This is a long non-coding RNA of Cyprinus carpio (common carp), 526 nucleotides long. RefSeq lists it as uncharacterized. Lineage: Eukaryota; Metazoa; Chordata; Actinopteri; Cypriniformes; Cyprinidae. The transcript has 3 exons. The record is from RefSeq and is a predicted model, not a curated record.
CUUUCCCACUGUGCUGUUUUCUCUAAUUGUAAGUUACAGUUACAUGUUACAUUAAAGCAGUAACAAUGAAAGUAAUCUGGGCAAGGCCCCUUAAAACUGUAAAAGUGGAAAUAUGAAGGUUGUAUGUUUAAGCACAUGACUCAAUAAGUACAAAUCAUUAUUAUUCAUGUUGUAAUGUAGACUCCAGCCCCUCCCCACUGCCCUAAAGCAAGUAGAAGAUGAAUGGAUAAAAGGAAGGAAAUUGUCAUUAUUUUUGAGCAUUUAUGGGUUACAUCAACCAGUUCAGAUGGGGAUGGAGGGGAACAUACCAAAGCAACAAUCAGUCCAUAAUCAUGUUUAAUGUGGGAGAUCUUGUAGGUGUAAUGUUAUCUGAACCAGUGUUAAUCUGGGCUGAGUGACAAGAGGAAUGCAACAUGAAGUAAGCAACCGUAUCCUCUAGUCAUGUGAUCAAGAGAAUAAAUCUAGGCCCCAAAUGUAAAGCUAUGAAGCUCGCAAGAACAAAGGGAGUGUUCAUGGCGAAAUAAAA